GCGUGCGGCGGCCGCGGCGCCAGUGUUUGUGUGUAUGUGAGAAAGCAAGGGGCGAGCGCGAGUGCGAGUGAGGCAAAGACAGAGCGCAUGUCUCAUCCCUGCGAGCAGCCACUAGACGCUCCACCACCAUCUUUUGCAUGUGCAACAUUUGCAGCCGGACAGAAAACCUCUCCCAGGGCUAUGGAGACUGCGGGAAAAAUCUGGCGGCUCGCAAUGGAUUGCUAAGGGGAAAUAGUCAUAAUCUUAAACCACCCCAAACCUCUUUCCUUUUUUUUCUUUCUUUUUUAUUUUAUUAUUAUUAUUUUUGUUGUUAAUUUUUAAUUUUAGCGCCGUCGUCUUCAAUGUUUCUCUGAACAGCCCUGAGGAAGAGUGUGAGAGAAAGAGAGAGAGCGCGCGCCAGGGAGAGGAGAAAAGAAGAUGAGGAUUAUUUGCAGACAGAUUGUCUUGUUAUUUUCUGGAUUUUGGGGACUCGCCAUGGGAGCCUUUCCGAGCAGCGUGCAAAUAGGUGGUCUCUUCAUCCGAAACACAGAUCAGGAAUACACUGCUUUUCGAUUAGCAAUUUUUCUUCAUAACACCAGCCCCAAUGCGUCGGAAGCUCCUUUUAAUUUGGUACCUCAUGUGGACAACAUCGAGACAGCCAACAGUUUUGCUGUAACAAAUGCCUUCUGUUCCCAGUAUUCUAGAGGAGUAUUUGCCAUUUUUGGACUCUAUGAUAAGAGGUCGGUACAUACCUUGACCUCAUUCUGCAGCGCCUUACAUAUCUCCCUCAUCACACCAAGUUUUCCUACUGAGGGGGAGAGCCAGUUUGUUCUGCAACUAAGACCUUCAUUACGAGGAGCACUCUUGAGUCUCUUGGAUCAUUACGAAUGGAACUGUUUCGUCUUCCUAUAUGACACAGACAGGGGAUACUCGAUACUCCAAGCUAUUAUGGAAAAAGCAGGACAAAAUGGUUGGCAUGUCAGCGCUAUAUGUGUGGAAAAUUUUAAUGAUGUCAGCUAUAGGCAACUUCUAGAAGAACUUGAUAGAAGACAAGAGAAGAAGUUUGUAAUAGACUGUGAGAUAGAAAGACUUCAAAACAUAUUAGAACAGAUUGUAAGUGUUGGGAAGCAUGUUAAAGGCUACCAUUAUAUCAUUGCAAACUUGGGAUUCAAGGACAUUUCUCUUGAGAGGUUUAUACAUGGUGGAGCCAAUGUUACUGGAUUCCAGUUGGUAGAUUUUAAUACACCUAUGGUAAUCAAACUAAUGGACCGCUGGAAGAAACUAGAUCAGAGAGAGUAUCCAGGUUCUGAGACUCCUCCAAAGUACACCUCUGCUCUGACUUAUGAUGGAGUCCUUGUGAUGGCUGAAACUUUCCGAAGUCUUAGGAGGCAGAAAAUUGAUAUCUCAAGGAGAGGAAAUGCUGGGGAUUGUCUGGCAAAUCCUGCUGCUCCAUGGGGCCAGGGAAUUGACAUGGAGAGGACACUCAAACAGGUUCGAAUUCAAGGGCUGACAGGGAAUGUUCAGUUUGACCACUAUGGACGUAGAGUCAAUUACACAAUGGAUGUGUUUGAGCUGAAAAGCACAGGACCUAGAAAGGUUGGUUACUGGAACGACAUGGACAAGUUAGUCUUGAUUCAAGAUGUCCCCACUCUUGGCAAUGACACAGCUGCUAUUGAGAACAGAACAGUGGUUGUAACCACAAUUAUGGAAUCCCCAUAUGUUAUGUACAAGAAAAAUCAUGAAAUGUUUGAAGGAAAUGACAAGUAUGAAGGAUACUGUGUAGAUUUGGCAUCUGAAAUUGCAAAACAUAUUGGUAUCAAGUAUAAAAUUGCCAUUGUCCCUGAUGGAAAAUAUGGAGCAAGGGAUGCAGACACAAAAAUCUGGAAUGGGAUGGUAGGAGAACUUGUUUAUGGGAAAGCAGAGAUUGCUAUUGCCCCUCUGACAAUCACUUUGGUACGAGAGGAGGUCAUUGACUUUUCUAAGCCCUUCAUGAGCUUGGGCAUAUCUAUCAUGAUCAAAAAGCCUCAGAAAUCCAAACCAGGAGUGUUUUCCUUCUUGGAUCCUCUGGCCUAUGAGAUUUGGAUGUGCAUAGUCUUUGCCUACAUUGGUGUCAGCGUGGUCUUAUUCCUAGUUAGUAGAUUUAGUCCAUAUGAGUGGCACACAGAAGAGCCAGAGGAUGGAAAGGAAGGACCCAGCGACCAGCCUCCCAAUGAGUUUGGCAUCUUUAACAGCCUCUGGUUUUCCCUGGGUGCUUUCAUGCAGCAAGGAUGUGACAUUUCACCCAGAUCCCUCUCAGGUCGAAUUGUUGGAGGUGUUUGGUGGUUCUUUACACUCAUCAUUAUAUCGUCUUAUACUGCUAACCUCGCUGCUUUCCUGACGGUUGAGAGAAUGGUCUCUCCCAUAGAAAGUGCGGAAGACCUAGCCAAACAAACAGAAAUUGCCUAUGGAACACUGGAUUCAGGGUCAACAAAAGAAUUCUUCAGAAGAUCAAAAAUAGCAGUGUAUGAAAAGAUGUGGACCUACAUGCGAUCAGCAGAGCCAUCAGUGUUCACUAGGACUACAGCUGAGGGAGUAGCUCGUGUCCGCAAAUCCAAGGGCAAAUUUGCCUUUCUCCUGGAGUCCACUAUGAAUGAAUACAUUGAACAGCGAAAGCCAUGUGACACGAUGAAAGUGGGAGGAAAUCUGGAUUCGAAAGGCUAUGGAGUAGCAACGCCCAAGGGUUCCUCAUUAAGGAGGAGGACAGAGGAGAACUAACCAGCUCCAGGACCAAGAAAUGCUGUUAACCUCGCAGUUUUAAAACUGAAUGAACAAGGCCUCUUGGACAAAUUGAAAAACAAAUGGUGGUACGACAAAGGAGAAUGUGGCAGCGGGGGAGGUGACUCCAAGGACAAGACGAGUGCCUUGAGCCUGAGCAACGUAGCAGGAGUCUUCUACAUUCUGGUUGGCGGCUUGGGCUUGGCAAUGCUGGUGGCUUUGAUAGAGUUCUGUUACAAGUCCAGGGCAGAAGCGAAGAGAAUGAAGGUGGCAAAGAGUGCACAGACUUUUAACCCAACUUCCUCGCAGAAUACCCAGAAUUUAGCAACCUAUAGAGAAGGUUACAACGUAUAUGGAACCGAAAGUAUUAAAAUUUAGGGCUGACCUUUUCUGAAGCCAUAAGAAACAAAGCCAGAUUAUCCAUCACUGGGAGUGUGGGUGAGAAUGGCCGCGUCUUGACGCCUGACUGCCCAAAGGCUGUACACACUGGAACUGCAAUCAGACAAAGUUCAGGAUUGGCUGUCAUUGCAUCGGACCUACCAUAAAAACCAAAAAAAUAAUUGAGUGCCUUAAUUUAACAGUGUUGGUGACUGAUGGAAACGCAGCCCUGAGGGACACGCCAUGCGCGGGUCUUUGCUAAACCAAUUCUUCGGCUGAGAGCCGGAAGUCUGUCCUAACGCUCGGGCCGGACAUCAGCAGCAGCAACGUGUGCAUGAGCUCAGCUCGGAAACCCAAACUCAGAUUUUAUAUCAGGAAAACUCACAAUUUAGGUUUUUUUCGGGGAGUUGGGGUGGGGGGAGCUGGGACGGGUGUAUUAACAGCAACAAAUUUCAUUUGAGAGGACUCAAAAACUAAUCAGACUUGCGAGUUAGCGCAUUAAACUGUGAAGUUCUUGCUCAGAAAGGCCUUUGUCUUCACCGAAAAGGAUAAAAUAGUUGUAGAAGUCCGUGAACAUGCUAACCUGUGUCUCCAGAACACCCAUAUAGUCCCUGGAAGAAAAUCCAGCUGAGAAAACAAAUCACUAAACUGUGAUAAGAAAAUAAUAAACAAACACGUAAAUCCUGCAGAAGAAAAAAUAAAGGAAGUAUUUACACUUACUUUGGAGAAAAAUACUGAAACAUGCUUGCUUUUUAACUGACAUAAAUUCACUAGAGGACAACACAAUUCUUUUUUCUAACCAUCUUAGGGAACAAUACGUUGCAAUAAUUGAUAUAAAUGCCAUCACUGUAAUAAACGUUAGAGACUUUUUUAAAAUAAAAGUUGUUGGUCAUCUUCUUGUUUGCUGUAAACUUCACUCUGUCACAUGAGUCGGUUCACAGAUUGCAUUUGUCUCACAACCAGGAAGAAAAGCAAAAGGAACAAAGUGUUUAGGUUCAAUCAUCAGUCUAGUGUAGACUCAAAAGAGACUAUGGGUCACUCAUGUUAACAGUAUUAUUUAUAAUCUUGUUCUGUGUACAAAAUUGUGGUUUUUUUACCCACCAAAAAGAAUAAAACAACAGAUGUUCUUACAAUAUCUACAGAGCUUAAAAGUUUUUUUCUUAUCAUUAUAAAAGUUAUUUGAGAAAUUAUAAGACUAUAUGAGAGAUCAUAAAAGUGGUGGGCCAUAGUGGAAAAUGUAGCUAGCCCUCAUUAUUUUUUGCAUACUAAGCUAACCUCUUCAGAUCUCUGACUCAUUAGCAGAUUAAAUUGUCAAAGAUGGAGUCUUUGAGUUGGGGAAUUAAUCAUUGUCCUAACAACAACAUACCUUGUAAUUGUAUGUUGAAAUUUUACUUGACUGUAUUUUGCUGCAUACAAUUAUAUGUCUUGAGCUUCUUCCCUUAUUCCUAUUGUUCCAUUUAAAUCAUUUGAAGGCACUAAUAAUAGUUUGGCGUAGAGAGAAAACGAAGAAUUAGUCUCUGUUUUCAACUGGAAAUUGUAAAGAAAAUUAUACUCAUGUUUAUUUAUAAAAAUCACUUUAUGAAUUAAACUAACACAGUUCAAAAAAAGGUUUGGUUCAUUUGAAAUGAUAAAUAAGUACUCUAAUGCAGAUAAAAAUCAUGUACUUAGAGUAUUGGCAGAAAGCACAAGUUAGGAUGAUUUCAGAAGUCUGACCUUGAAGGAUGAGUUGAGUUUUAAUAGGAGGAGAAGGUGUUAGGAGCCAUAUGGGUAAGUAGUGGUCCAAAGCCAUGCACAUCAAUGGCUCACUUAAGGAAUGAAUGCCGCUAGAUGGGUUAGUGAGAACACAAGGUGUGAUAUCAUGGAAGAUAAAGUUGGAAAAGGAGAAGGCUUAAUUUCCUUCCAUUAACUCUCAAGAUCCCAUUCCCCAUUCAAUCUCUGUGCUGCAGUAAGAGCAGUCUUAAACAGUGUAAAUCACACACACAUACGCACACACACAAUCUUAAACAGUGUAAAUCACACACACAUACACACACACACAGGUCCCUCAGGAAAAAUUCCAAGCUCUUGAGAAGAGCAAAUGAGCCCCUUCAUGACCUGGCCCUUGCUUGUUUCUUUCAGAACGUCUCUCACUUCUCUCCAGCUACUCUCGUCAGGAAAUGAACCUCCAAAGCAGCACAUGGAGCACUGCAUAGACUAUUUACUCAGUACAUAACUCCUUCCUGUCUCCUCUUUACCUGACUAACUUGUACUCAUCCUUCAAUACUCAAGUUGAAUUUUACUUGCCAUGAAAAGAUUUCCAUGGCUAUUCACCACCCCCUGCCUGUGAGAUUGAGUUAGGCACCCUUCUUAAUGUUUACCCCCAUCAUGGCACUUAUCAUAUUGCGUUGUAAUUGCCUGUGUACUUGUCUGUAUAACUACUAGACUGUAAGCUCCUUGAGGGCAGGGACUGUGUCUAUCUUGUUCACAGUUGUAUCCCCAGCACCCAGCACAGUGCCUGGCAUAUUGUAGGUGCUUAAUAAAUAUUUGUUGAAUGAA
RNA transcript from Sapajus apella (tufted capuchin), 5646 nucleotides. It is a transcript of the gene named glutamate ionotropic receptor AMPA type subunit 4, with no coding region annotated. The transcript is spliced from 17 exons. The record is from RefSeq and is a predicted model, not a curated record. NCBI's taxonomy places the organism in Eukaryota, Metazoa, Chordata, Mammalia, Primates, Cebidae.